Molecule: ribosomal RNA, 481 nt
Filed under: uncultured bacterium
Lineage: Bacteria
Description: partial 16S ribosomal RNA
Rfam family: Bacterial small subunit ribosomal RNA
Source: RNAcentral
AUUGAACGCUGGCGGCAUGCCUUACACAUGCAAGUCGAACGGUAACGGGCCUUCGGGUGCCGACGAGUGGCGAACGGGUGAGUAAUACAUCGGAACGUGCCCGAUCGUGGGGGAUAACGAGGCGAAAGCUUUGCUAAUACCGCAUACGAUCUACGGAUGAAAGCAGGGGACCGCAAGGCCUUGCGCGGACGGAGCGGCCGAUGGCAGAUUAGGUAGUUGGUGGGAUAAAAGCUUACCAAGCCGACGAUCUGUAGCUGGUCUGAGAGGAUGAUCAGCCACAUGGGGACUGAGAAACGGCCCAGUCUCCUACGGGAGGCAGGAGGGGGGAAUUUUGGAAAAGGGGCGCAAGCCUAAUCCAGCCAUGCCGCGGGAAGGAUGAAGGCCUGCGGGUUGUAAACUGCUUUUGUACGGAACGAAAAGCCUUCUUUUAAAACAGGGGGGUCAUGACGGUACCGAAAGAAUAAGCACCGGCUAACUACGU